RNAcentral lists this ribosomal RNA (953 nucleotides) under uncultured bacterium. RNAcentral describes it as "bacterial SSU rRNA". It matches the Rfam family "Bacterial small subunit ribosomal RNA", at positions 43 to 968 of the family's 1533-position model. The record is from RNAcentral.
CGUGCUUAACACAUGCAAGUCGCACGAGAACGCUUCAGCUUGCUGAAGUUAGUAAAGUGGCGCACGGGUGAGUAACGCGUGGGUAAUCUACCCUCGAAUUGGGGAUAACCCGCCGAAAGGCGGGCUAAUACCGAAUAAUAUCUUAAAAACCUCGGUUCCAAAGAUCAAAGGAGGCCUCUACUUGUAAGCUUCUGUUUGAGGAUGAGCCCGCGUACCAUUAGCUUGUUGGUAGGGUAAUGGCCUACCAAGGCUACGAUGGUUAGCUGGUCUGAGAGGAUGAUCAGCCACACUGGAACUGACACACGGUCCAGACUCCUACGGGAGGCAGCAGUGAGGAAUUUUGCGCAAUGGGGGAAACCCUGACGCAGCAACGCCGCGUGAGUGAUGAAGGCUUUCGGGUCGUAAAGCUCUGUCAAGUGGGAAGAACUCGCAUGGUGCUAAUACUACCAUGUGUUGACGGUACCACUGAAGGAAGCACCGGCUAACUCCGUGCCAGCAGCCGCGGUAAUACGGGGUGUGCAAGCGUUAUUCGGAAUUACUGGGCGUAAAGAGCGCGUAGGCGGUCCUUUAAGUCAGGUGUGAAAGCCCGGGGCUCAACCCCGGAAGUGCACUUGAAACUAAGGGACUUGAGUAUGGGAGAGGGAAGUGGAAUUCCUGGUGUAGCGGUGAAAUGCGUAGAUAUCAGGAGGAACAUCGGUGGCGAAGGCGACUUCCUGGACCAAUACUGACGCUGAGGCGCGAAGGCGUGGGGAGCAAACAGGGUUAGAUACCCUGGUAGUCCACGCAGUAAACGGUGAACACUAGUGUAGCGGGUAUUGACCCCUGCUGUGCCGCAGCAAACGCAUUAAGUGUUCCGCCUGGGGAGUACGACCGCAAGGUUAAAACUCAAAGGAAUUGACGGGGGCCCGCACAAGCGGUGGAGCAUGUGGUUUAAUUCGACGCAACGCGAAGAA